GACGAACGCUGGCGGCGUGCUUAACACAUGCGAGUCGAACGGAAAGGCCUGCUUUCCCUUGUGGAUUGCGGGUACUCGAGUGGCGAACGGGUGAGUAACACGUGAGUGAUCUGCCCCCAACUUGGGUAUAAGCCUGGGAAACUGGGUCUAAUUCCCGAUAGGACUGCAGGGUGGUGCCUGUGGUGGAAAACGAUUUUCUAGUGGUUGGGGAUGAGCUCGCGGCCUAUCAGCUUGUUGGUGGGGUAAUGGCCUACCAAGGCGGCGACGGGUAGCCGGCCUGAGGGGGUGGACGGCCACAUUGGGACUGAGAUACGGCCCAGACUCCUACGGGAGGCAGCAGUGGGGAAUAUUGCACAAUGGGCGGAAGCCUGAUGCAGCGACGCCGCGUGGGGGAUGACGGCCUUCGGGUUGUAAACUCCUUUCGACCGCGAGGAAGCCACCUGGUUGGAGGGGUGGUGACGGUAGUGGUAGAAGAAGCACCGGCUAACUACGUG
RNAcentral lists this ribosomal RNA (494 nucleotides) under uncultured bacterium. RNAcentral's name for it is "partial 16S ribosomal RNA". It matches the Rfam family "Bacterial small subunit ribosomal RNA", at positions 28 to 507 of the family's 1533-position model. The record is from RNAcentral.